UACGAAGGGGGCUAGCGUUGUUCGGAAUCACUGGGCGUAAAGCGCACGCAGGCGGAUUGAUAAGUCAGGGGUGAAAUCCCGGAGCUCAACUUCGGAACUGCCUUUGAUACAGCACGUCUUGAGUCCGGAAGAGGUGGGUGGAAUUCCUAGUGUAGAGGUGAAAUUCGUAGAUAUUAGGAAGAACACCGGUGGCGAAGGCGGCCCACUGGUCCGGUACUGACGCUGAGGUGCGAAAGCGUGGGGAGCAAACAGG
Molecule: ribosomal RNA, 253 nt
Filed under: uncultured bacterium
Lineage: Bacteria
Description: partial 16S ribosomal RNA
Rfam family: Bacterial small subunit ribosomal RNA
Source: RNAcentral